Molecule: ribosomal RNA, 468 nt
Filed under: Salmonella enterica subsp. enterica serovar Paratyphi B
Lineage: Bacteria; Pseudomonadati; Pseudomonadota; Gammaproteobacteria; Enterobacterales; Enterobacteriaceae
Description: bacterial SSU rRNA
Rfam family: Bacterial small subunit ribosomal RNA
Source: RNAcentral
GGGGGAUAACUACUGGAAACGGUGGCUAAUACCGCAUAACGUCGCAAGACCAAAGAGGGGGACCUUCGGGCCUCUUGCCAUCAGAUGUGCCCAGAUGGGAUUAGCUAGUUGGUGAGGUAACGGCUCACCAAGGCGACGAUCCCUAGCUGGUCUGAGAGGAUGACCAGCCACACUGGAACUGAGACACGGUCCAGACUCCUACGGGAGGCAGCAGUGGGGAAUAUUGCACAAUGGGCGCAAGCCUGAUGCAGCCAUGCCGCGUGUAUGAAGAAGGCCUUCGGGUUGUAAAGUACUUUCAGCGGGGAGGAAGGUGUUGUGGUUAAUAACCACAGCAAUUGACGUUACCCGCAGAAGAAGCACCGGCUAACUCCGUGCCAGCAGCCGCGGUAAUACGGAGGGUGCAAGCGUUAAUCGGAAUUACUGGGCGUAAAGCGCACGCAGGCGGUCUGUCAAGUCGGAUGUGAAACC